RNAcentral lists this ribosomal RNA (306 nucleotides) under uncultured bacterium. RNAcentral's name for it is "bacterial SSU rRNA". It matches the Rfam family "Bacterial small subunit ribosomal RNA", at positions 28 to 334 of the family's 1533-position model. The record is from RNAcentral.
GACGAACGCUGGCGGCGUGCUUAACACAUGCAAGUCGAACGAUGAUGCUCUUGCUUGCAAGGGUGGAUUAGUGGCGAACGGGUGAGUAACACGUGGGUGAUCUGCCCUGCACUUUGGGAUAAGCCUGGGAAACUGGGUCUAAUACCGAAUAUUUACAUCACUGUAGGGGUGGUGUGGAAAGCUUUUGCGGUGUGGGAUGAGCCUGCGGCCUAUCAGCUUGUUGGUGGGGUAAUGGCCUACCAAGGCGUCGACGGGUAGCCGGCCUGAGAGGGUGAACGGCCACAAGGGGACUGAGACACGGCCCUU